RNAcentral lists this ribosomal RNA (497 nucleotides) under uncultured bacterium. Its description in RNAcentral is "partial 16S ribosomal RNA". It matches the Rfam family "Bacterial small subunit ribosomal RNA", at positions 28 to 507 of the family's 1533-position model. The record is from RNAcentral.
GAUGAACGCUGGCGACGUGCCUAAUACAUGCAAGUCGAGCGAACAGAUAAGGAGCUUGCUCCUUUGACGAUAGGCGCGCACGGGUGUGUCACAUGUGGGUCACCUCCCUAUAAGACUGGGAUAACUUCGGGAAACCGGAUCUUAUACCGUAUAACAUUUGGAUCCACAUGGUUCUAUAGAGAAAGACGGUUUUGCUAUCACUUAUAGCUGGUCCCGCGCGGUAUUAGUUAGUUGGUAGGGUAACGGCUUACCAGGGCGACGAUACGUAGCCGACCGGAGAGGCGGGUCGGCCACAUGAGAACGUGACCAGGGUCCAGACUACUACGGGAGGGAGCAGAAGGGAACCUUCGGCAAUGGGCGAAAACCUUCCGGAGCAAGCCGGAGUGAGUGAUAAAGGGUUUGGGUUCGUAAAGCCCGGUUACUGGGGAAAAACAAACUUGGAAUGAAAUGUGCACGUCUUGACGGUACCUAAUCAGAAAGCAACGGCUAACUACGUG